This 1475-nucleotide ribosomal RNA is filed under the name uncultured Bordetella sp. RNAcentral describes it as "partial 16S-23S ribosomal RNA intergenic spacer". It matches the Rfam family "Bacterial small subunit ribosomal RNA". Lineage: Bacteria; Pseudomonadati; Pseudomonadota; Betaproteobacteria; Burkholderiales; Alcaligenaceae. The record is from RNAcentral.
UUUGAUCUCGCGGCUCAGAGAUUGAACGCUGGCGGGAUGCUUUACACGCCUGGUCUGAACGUUCGCUGGACUCGGUCUGGUGGCGGAAAUUGCCGUAGAACGGUGCGAGUAAUCAUAUCGGAACGUGCCUAAUGUGAGGAUAACUACGCGAAAGCGUAGCUAAUACCACAUACGCCCUUCGAGGAAAGCGAGACCUUCGGGCCUCACUAUUAAACGGCCGAUAUCGGAUUAGCUAGUUGGUGGGGUAACGGCUCGCAAGGCGACGAUCCGUAGCUGGUUUGAGAGGACGACCAGCCACACUGGGACUGAGACCUGGCCCGAACUCCUACGGGAGGCAGCAGUGAGAAUUUUGGACAAUGGGGGAAACCCUGAUCCAGCCAUCCCGCGUGUGCGAUGAAGGCCGCUUCGGGUUGUAAAGCACUUUUGGCAGGAAAGAAACGGCACGGGAUAAUACCCCGUGCAACUGACCAGUACCUGCAGAAUAAGCACCGGCUAACUACGUGCCAGCAGCCGCGAUAUGUACGUAGGGUGCAAGCGUUAAUCGGAAUUACUGGGCGUAAAGCGUGCGCGGGCAGUUCAGAAAAGAUCAACAAAUCAGGCUUAACACGAUUAACGCAACUACUGGCUGGUGUGGCUGAAGGAGGUGGAAUUGCGAUGUAGCAGUGAAAUGCGUAGAUAUGCCGGAGGAACACCGAUAGCGAGCGGUAUCACUGGGAUAACACUGACGCUCAUGCACGAAAACGUGGGAGCAAACAGGAUUAGAUACCCUGGUAGUCCACGCCUAAACGAUGUCAACUAGCUGUUGGGAGCCUUCGGGCCUUGUGGCGCAACUAACGUGAAGUUGACCGCCUGGGGAAGUACGGUCGCAAGAUUAAAACUCAAAGGAAUUGACAGGGACCCGCACCAAGCGGUGGAUGAUGUGGAUUAAUUCGAUGCAACAUGAAAAACCUUACCACGCCGACAUGUCUGGAAUCCAGAAGUUGGGUGCUCGCCAGAACCGGAACACAAGGUGCUUUCACGCAACAUUGAUCAGCUCGUGUCGUAGGAUGUUGGGUUAAGUCCACAGCGAGCUGUGCCAAUCAUUCAGUUGCUGCAAAAGGGCACUCUAAUGAGACUGCCGGUGACCAUUGCGGAAGGUGGGGAUGACGUCAAGUCCUCAUAUGUACCAUAGGUGAGGCUUCACACGUCAUGCAAUGGUCGGGUUGGAGGGUCGCCACUUCACCGAGAGGAGCCAAUCCAGAAACCCGAUCGUAGUCGGAUCAUGAUCUGCGGCUCGACUGCGUGAAGUCGAAUCGCUAGUAAUCCCGCGGAUCAGCAUGUCGCGGUGAAUACGUUCCCGGGUCUUGUACACACCGCCCGUCACACCAUGGGAGUGGGUUUUACCAGUAGUUGGCCUAACCGCACGAGAGGCGAUUACCACGGUAGGAUUCAUGACUGGGGUGAAGUCGUAACAAUUAACCCCUGUUUAUACCUGA